AUUGAACGCUGGCGGCAUGCUUUACACAUGCAAGUCGAACGGUAACAGGCCUUCGGGUGCUGACGAGUGGCGAACGGGUGAGUAAUGCAUCGGAACGUACCCAGAGGUGGGGGAUAACGCAGCGAAAGCUGUGCUAAUACCGCAUGUGAUCUGAGGAUGAAAGCGGGGGACCGAGCAGCAAUGUUUGGCCUCGCGCCUUUGGAGCGGCCGAUGUCGGAUUAGCUAGUUGGUGGGGUAAAGGCCUACCAAGGCGACGAUCCGUAGCUGGUCUGAGAGGACGACCAGCCACACUGGGAUUGAGACACGGCCCAGACUCCUACGGGAGGCAGCAGUGGGGAAUUUUGGACAAUGGGCGCAAGCCUGAUCCAGCAAUGCCGCGUGCGGGAAGAAGGCCUUCGGGUUGUAAACCGCUUUUGGCAGGAACGAAACGGUGUCCGCUAAUACCGGGCGCUAAUGACGGUACCUGCAGAAUAAGCACCGGCUAACUACGUG
Molecule: ribosomal RNA, 492 nt
Filed under: uncultured bacterium
Lineage: Bacteria
Description: partial 16S ribosomal RNA
Rfam family: Bacterial small subunit ribosomal RNA
Source: RNAcentral